AUGCAUACUCGUCUAAUAAACCUUCAGACUCCAUUUGAAGGUUGGUCUAUUAAUAUCAAUUUCAGAGUGUUCAGUUCGGAUUUAACGUUGCAUCAGCUUUCCUAUCACUCAUCAAUUGAUGGAAUGAUGGUGAGUGACUUGAGCGAGACUGUCAGAAUAUUGGUGACCAACUGCAACUUUGUACUAGUAUUAGUGAAUCAUUCUACUCAGAUUUGA
Molecule: non-coding RNA, 216 nt
Organism: Vicia faba (fava bean)
Lineage: Eukaryota; Viridiplantae; Streptophyta; Magnoliopsida; Fabales; Fabaceae
Source: the annotation of a GenBank genome assembly